GAGAAAAGCAAAAGAGCGGGAGACGGCGUAAACGGGCGGGAAAGGCUGAUCGCCGGGGACCUUCUCCUCUUGGGCGACGACGGAGCGCAGGGCGACGACGGAGGGGCAGUGCUGCUCGUGCUGCUAGCUCUGCUCUUCAAUCUUGCUCACGCUGCAAUCGUAAUAUGUUUUAUUGAGAUGGAUGAAGAGGCUAAUAGGAAAGAGGCUAACUCAGUGCAUCCUGAUUCUAAUGUUGAUGGCCUUCCGAGCUUGGUACUUCAUGUUGGCAUGGAAUUCAAAAAUCCAGAAGUGGCUUGGGCGUUUUGGCUUAGCUACGCUGGGCAAAGGGGGUUUGAGGUCAGAAAAAGGUAUACUAACAAGAGACCAUCCGAUGGCAAGGUUACGUCAUGUAGAUUUGUUUGUGCAAAUGAGGGUCAUCGAUUGAAAGACAAAAGAGAUCGUAUAAUAAAGUGCCCCCGAGCUGAAACUAGAACUGAUUGUCAAGUCCACAUGAGUCUUAAAAUGGACCGACAAAAUGGAAAAAUGAAAGUGAAUGAGCUGGUUUCGGAACA
Molecule: long non-coding RNA, 551 nt
Organism: Panicum virgatum (switchgrass)
Lineage: Eukaryota; Viridiplantae; Streptophyta; Magnoliopsida; Poales; Poaceae
Exons: 3
Source: RefSeq, a predicted model, not a curated record